Molecule: RNA transcript, 3546 nt
Organism: Juglans regia (Persian walnut)
Lineage: Eukaryota; Viridiplantae; Streptophyta; Magnoliopsida; Fagales; Juglandaceae
Gene name: auxin response factor 3-like
Exons: 12
Source: RefSeq, a predicted model, not a curated record
CUCUCUCUCUCUCUCUCUCUCUCUCUAACUCUCUCUCUUGCUUUCGCUGUAAGCUCUCACUGCCACACAUCACUGAUCACACCCAGCAGUCGCAGCAGCAGCAGUGCUGCAGCAAGCUUCAGCCUUCGGACCAGAGGAAACAAAAGCAAAAACCUAAAGGAAUACCCAAAAAAAAAAGAAAAAAAAAAAAGAAAACAAAUCUCAGUAUUGAAAGUCCAAACUUUUGUUCCCAAUCCCCCCACCCCAAAAGCUUUUGAUUUGAUUGGAUAGCCAACAAACCCAAUUCACCCCCCGUUUCCCAUACAAAGCGUGAAAGCAGUAGAAACAAACAGAAAAAAAAAAACAAAAACAAAAACGAAAAAGAGGGGGGCUUUUUCUCUUUUUGAGACUCCAAGCUUCUUUUUUAGCAAUGCAAAGCCACAAUUGCUACCGUCUACCUCUUAAAAAUGCAGGCAUGAACCCCCCCUCUCGUUCUCUCUCUCUCUGUCUCUCUUUCGCACUCUUUUUCUCAUUUCCAAAAGCGCUUUUCUUCAGCUUCUGCUUUGGCUUUAUUGUUAUUUCACAGUUUAGGGGCUUUUGAUUUCAUGGGUCUGAUCGAUCUCAACACGACGGAGGACGACGAAACGCCGUCUUCCGGUUCCUCCGCUUCGUCAUGGUGCUCUGCCUCUGUUCUGAGCGCUUCGGCCUCGGCUUCGGCGUCGUCGGUCUGCCUGGAGUUGUGGCACGCGUGUGCAGGCCCACUGAUUUCGCUUCCGAAGAAGAAUAGUGUCGUGGUGUACUUCCCGCAGGGACACUUGGAGCAGGUUCCGGAUUUUCCUCUUGCAGCCUAUGAUCUCCCUCCCCACGUGUUCUGUCGCGUUACUGAUGUCAAGCUACAUGCGGAGGAGGGCACCGAUGAGGUUUAUGCGCAGGUCGCACUGGUUCCUGAAAACGAGCAAUUCGAGCAUAAACUUCAAGAAGGGGAAGUCGAUGCAGAGGGGGAGGAAGACGAUGCUGAUGUAGCUGCAAAGUCGUCCACACCCCACAUGUUCUGUAAGACUCUUACUGCUUCUGAUACUAGCACACAUGGAGGCUUCUCUGUACCUCGUCGAGCUGCUGAGGACUGCUUCCCUGCCCUGGACUAUAAGCAACAGAGGCCUUCUCAAGAGCUCGUGGCGAAGGAUCUACAUGGUUUGGAAUGGAGGUUUCGACAUAUCUACAGGGGGCAACCGCGAAGACAUUUGCUCACUACUGGCUGGAGUGGUUUUGUAAACAAGAAGAAGCUUGUCUCUGGAGAUGCUGUGCUCUUUCUUCGGGGUGAGGAUGGAGAAUUGCGACUGGGAAUCCGAAGAGCUGCUCAAGUUAAAGGUAGCGGCAGUUUUUCGGCUCUCUGUAGCCGGCAGAUGAAUCAUGGCUCUCUGAUGGAUGUGAUUAAUGCUAUAUCUACUAGAAGCACCUUCAACAUUUACCAUAAUCCAAGUAUAUCUAGUAGGGCCAGUUCAUCAGAAUUCAUAAUACCUCUCCGUAAGUUCUUGAAGAGCCUGCAACAUUCUUUUUCAGUUGGAAUGAGGUUCAAAAUGCGUUUUGAAGCAGAAGAUGCAGCUGAGAGAAGAUACACAGGGCUUGUAACUGGAAUAGGUGAUAUGGAUCCUGUUAGAUGGCCUGGUUCAAAAUGGAGAUGCCUACUGGUUAGGUGGGAUGAUGUGGAGACUAGGCAUAACAGGGUUUCUCCAUGGGAAAUUGAGCCAUCUAGUUCUCUUUCGGGUUCCACUAGCUUGAUGGCGCCUGGUUCAAAGAGGACCAGGAUUGGAUUUCCUUUAGGAAAAUUGGAAUUUCCAAUUCCCAAUGGGAUUGGAGUAUCAGACUUCGGGGAAUCUUUAAGCUUCCAGAAGGUCUUGCAAGGUCAAGAAAUUUUGGGUUUUACUCAUGAUGGUAUCGAUACUCAUAAUCUGCAGUAUCUGCGUACAUCUGAAACGAGGAGGUGUAUUCCUGGUUCAAAUGGUUCUGGGAUUGCUGCAAUAGGAGAUGGUGUUAGAAACCCAAUUGUGAACUCUGAUAUCUCCUAUAAAGGCAUGGGCUUUGGUGAAUCUUUGCGAUUCCAGAAGGUCUUGCAAGGUCAAGAAAUAUUUCCAAGCUUGCCAUAUGAAAGAGCCCCAUCAACUAAUGAGGCUCAUGGCAAUGGUGGCCUUGGAAUCCUUGAUGGUGUUCAAGUGAUGAGCUCGUGGAAUGGAUGGCCUGGGAUGAUGCGGGGCAAUAAUACAACUAUGUGCCCAUUUUCCCCACCUAUGCAAGCUUCAUCACCAUCCUCUGUCUUAAUGUUCCAGCAAGCAACUAAUCCAGUUUCAAACUUAGGUUCAAUGGAUAAGUUCAAUAGUCUGGAGGAUCAGAGAAUUAGUAACCAAAGUUUGUCUGUUUCUGAAGAAAUUGGUGGAAAGCUCACAGCAUCCUCACUAUAUGAACAUAACUUCCGCAGGAAAGAUCAAGGAGGCACAAAUUCUUCCAGUUUCGAGCAUAAUCAACUGGUCUCUACACUCCCUCCUCUUGCAACUCAAUCCACCUUUGAGGGCAGCCAGGAUCUAGUUCCCACAUGUAAAAGUAGCUGCAGACUCUUUGGGUUUUCAUUGACAGAGGGAAAACAUGUUGCAAAUACUGAGGACUCCACUCCAGCUUCGUCCCCAUUGAAUCCUGGAGCUUCUUUUCUGCCUCAUGUUGGGGACCAGUUCCAUCCCAAGCCUCCUUCACUGAUGACCAAGGCAGUUGGAACUGCUUGUACCGAAGAAACCAGUCUUCCUAAGCUAGACAUAUGUGAUUUAUCUGAUUAUGGGUUGGAGCUGGAUUUGAUAUGGAAUGGCGUUUUGCUAGUCUGGGAAAAUCACGGAAUGUUACAAGAAUAGUGAGGAUGAUGCUUUUCUGGAGAUGAUCCAUGGCAGUAAUAUCUGACUAUUCCUUUCCAAUAUCAGUGACAUUAUCUUUUGCUCUCUGUAUCAAGCCUGAAGCGGGUGUUUUUACCAUCUUGAGUAGCACAUGGCACAUCACAAGGCUCACCCAAAGAUGCUGGCUUAGGGAUGGAUGGUACUAAAAUGUCAUGGUAUUUUGUACCAUCUAGCUUGAAGCGCAUCUCAUGGGAUUGUGCAGAAAACAUCCCGCUAGCCUAAUCAACAAUUGGCUUCUAUUUCUACUUUCAAGUAGAUUCUUCUGGAUUUGCCUUUCUUUCCGAAAUUCUGCAAUAUUUUCACAAGAACUAUGAUAUCUACUAAAGGUGUAGUACUGGUCCCUGAGGUUGCAGAGGAGAUGCCUGUAGUUUGCUCAGAUUGUGUUCUGCCAUUGGUAUUAAAAUUAUAAAUUAGCCUGUGAGGAGAUAAUUGUAAUUAUAACCUCUAGGCAACUUGAUUGUAUCUUAACUUCAAGAACAACUUGUGUUUCUCUGUUAGUUUUCUUAUGAUCGCCUACAAUGAUAUGUUUUAACAUAUCAUAUUCUAGGAAAUUGGAUACUUUUAUGGUGGUUGGCUUCUAUUUGUCAAGUUGUUUUAUCCUUUGUGAACUUGUCUGUUCCAGUUUUGACUGCAA